ACACCAAGAAAUGGACUGGAAUCAAAUCAAAUCAAAUCAAACAAGAAAUUCAUGGUCUCAUCAGCCAGUCUAAUUACACUACUACACUACACUCUAUAAUAUAUUACUAUUAUCUUCACUACACUAUAAACUAUCUUCUACUGAUGUGAGGUGUAGUGACAGUGUGAAGAGUAACAGUAGAAGAUAGUUUAUAGCGUAGCGGAGAUAAUAGUAAUAUAUUGUAGAGUAAUAUAGUAUAGUAGCAUAACAUAGCAUAGCUAAUUGCUAAGGAAGAAAAGAAAGAGAAAGAAGAUGUGCGAAAUACAUACAUCAAUAUAUAUAUACAUAUAGAAAUAGUGAUAGCAAG
RNAcentral lists this small RNA (346 nucleotides) under Histoplasma ohiense. Its description in RNAcentral is "hypothetical lncRNA". The record is from RNAcentral. Lineage: Eukaryota; Fungi; Ascomycota; Eurotiomycetes; Onygenales; Ajellomycetaceae.